AGUCGAGGGGCAGCGAGUAGAUUGCUUGCAAUCUACGUCGGCGACCGGCGCACGGGUGCGUAACGCGUAUGCAACCUACCCAUUACAGGGGGAUAACACUGAGAAAUCGGUACUAAUACCCCAUAACAUCCAGGGAGGCAUCUUCUUGGGUUGAAAACUCCGGUGGUAAUGGAUGGGCAUGCGUUGUAUUAGUUAGUUGGUGGGGUAACGGCUCACCAAGACGACGAUACAUAGGGGGACUGAGAGGUUAACCCCCCACAUUGGUACUGAGACACGGACCAAACUCCUACGGGAGGCAGCAGUGAGGAAUAUUGGUCAAUGGACGCAAGUCUGAACCAGCCAUGCCGCGUGCAGGAAGACGGCUCUAUGAGUUGUAAACUGCUUUUGUACGAGGGUAAACGCAGAUACGUGUAUCUGUCUGAAAGUAUCGUACGAAUAAGGAUCGGCUAACUCCGUGCCAGCAGCCGCGGUAAUACGGAGGAUUCAAGCGUUAUCCGGAUUUAUUGGGUUUAAAGGGUGCGUAGGCGGUAUUUUAAGUUAGUGGUAAAACGUCGGGGCUUCACCUUGAUUGGCCAUUAAAACUGGAGUACUAGAGUACAGACGAGGUAGGCGGAAUAAGUUAAGUAGCGGUGAAAUGCUUAGAUAUAACUUAGAACCCCGAUAGCGAAGGCAGCUUACCAGACUGUUACUGACGCUGAAGCACGAGAGCGUGGGUAGCGA
RNAcentral lists this ribosomal RNA (720 nucleotides) under uncultured bacterium. Its description in RNAcentral is "bacterial SSU rRNA". It matches the Rfam family "Bacterial small subunit ribosomal RNA", at positions 60 to 771 of the family's 1533-position model. The record is from RNAcentral.